ACGUAGGGGGCAAGCGUUGUCCGGAAUUACUGGGCGUAAAGGGUGCGUAGGCGGUUAUUUAAGUCAGAUGUGAAAUCCCCGGGCUUAACUCGGGUGGUGCCUUUGAAACUGGGUAACUAGAGUGCAGGAGAGGGAAGCGGAAUUCCUAGUUUAGCGGUGCAAUGCGUAGAUAUUAGGAGGAACACCAGUGGCGAAGGCAGCUUUCUGGACUGUAACUGACGCUGAGGCACGAAAGCGUGGGGAGAAUACAG
Molecule: ribosomal RNA, 251 nt
Filed under: uncultured prokaryote
Description: partial 16S rRNA
Rfam family: Bacterial small subunit ribosomal RNA
Source: RNAcentral